Molecule: long non-coding RNA, 24984 nt
Filed under: Marmota monax (woodchuck)
Lineage: Eukaryota; Metazoa; Chordata; Mammalia; Rodentia; Sciuridae
Rfam family: tRNA (bases 22378-22445)
Source: RNAcentral
CAAGAGGAUUGAAUCACCCAGGAUCAGCAGGAGAUCAGGUACCUGACAAUUCUGUAAUCCUAGCUACUCUGGAUGCUGAGAUAGGAAGAUCACUUGAGCUCAAGAAUUUGUAGCCAGCUAGGGCACACAGCAAGACCCUGUGCUCUGAGGAGGAAAGAGUCUCUAGAGUUCAGGGAUCUAGGAAUGUCCCCUGAGGAGAGACUAGAAAUAGAACUGGGCUGGGAGAAAACCCGAGGACUGGGGUGACUGUGGUAGUAGAGGGUUAUGUGUCAAAAUUUAAUGCUACAAAAUCAAUUCUGGGCAAAAAAAAAUAUCCCAGGUAGGGAGUUGGGCUCAUUUCUGGAAAAAGAAAAACAUCUUGAAGGACAGACAUGUAGCAUAUCUACCCUCCAAACACUUAAAAACUUAUCCAAGAUCAUAUACUUUGCUCCCAGAUCCUUGAGGAAGUACUGCUGGUAUCUGUGUUCCACUUGGUCCCUUAUACAAAAGAGCCUUUCCCUUCCUAUGGCUAGUCAAGCUUAGAUUCUUCAAGCCAGAACAAGAAUAUGUUUAAUUUCCCCAUUUCCCUCCCAAAUUCAUGCCCACAUUAACUUCUAGUAUCCCAGCUGAACUUUAAAUGGAGACUGAGAGUCGAGAGCCAGAGACUUCAUUUCCCAGUGUCAAUCACCUGAGUUUAGUGCACAGGAGCUUGGAUGUUUAAUGAAAGAAGAGUCCGUAGGCCUCAAGUUCUUUGUUUUAAUUUAGGAUCUUUAAGAUGGAGAGCACUACUUCAGUGAUUAGGAGAGACACAAGAUGGAAAGAAAGAUUUUACUACUGAUGGGCCCUGGGUGGUACACAAGACAUCUGAAAGCCACACUCAUGGAGGUCAAGGUCAAGGAGUGCAGACAGAGUGUGUGUGCAUGGCAGGGAGAGACUAUGGGACAAUGUCAACAUUGGGAUCCAGGGAGUUAUCCACACAGGUUUUCUGAGAAGAGUUUUAAUUGGUAGGUUUAAAGCAAAAAAAUGUAAGUGUCAAGAGGCUAUGACCAAGAUGUGAUACCGCAACAUAUCUGCACAGUCCAUAUGGGGUAUGAGGGUCAGCAGAGCCAGUCAUAUGUUGUACAUAGCUGUCUAAUAGGGAAGAGGUCACAAGGCCUUGUAUAACACAGAUAUCCGGACUAACUACAUUGAGGAACUGCAGAAGAGGUAAGUGUAAAACUAAAACUGAGUUAAGGAUAAGUGAACCAUGCUCCUGGUAUGACAAAAUUAAACUUAUAUUCCAAAUGGUGGGGUGGGGAGAUGAGGCAUGGGGAAGAGAAGCUUGAAAUUCAUGCUUAUCAGUUCUCAAAAAGCCAGCUGUAUCCCCAUCAGAAUCAACUAGGGAACUCAUGUAAAAAUAUGGAAUAUACAAUUUUGAGACUGGGGUCCAGAAAUCUCUAUUGCUAAUAAGUGUCCCAGAGAAGUUCUUAGGCAAUUUAAUUUCCAGAAGCUCUGUGACUAGGAAGGAGGGGCUGCGUAAUUAUUUUAAGGUAUGUCAAAGCAAAGUAUUUUUCUCAUUAAUGAUGUUUCUUCUACUCAUAAUUCACUCCAAAUCCUCCUCCAGAAGGAAUUUCGGAGGAAUUUAAGGAGGAUACCUAGGGUCCUGAAAUUCCUUAAAGAAGAUAGGUAAGCUUUUAUAACUUUGCCUUAAGAUCAAAAAAGUGAUGGAAAUAUAAUGUAGAAAAUUAAAUAAUUAACUCCACAUAGAGAGAUGUUGGAUAAAUGUUAGUAUUUAUUAUUUUAAUGCUAUACAAUUUAAAAAUCCUGAUUCAACUAACAAUGCUAGAAAAGCAAAAUCAAAGUAUAAGAAAAGGUGAUGAAACAAUUAAAUUGUUAUUAGGGAAUAUGUGCAGAUAAUAUCAAUUUACAUUGGAUUUGUGUGUGUGUGUGUGUGUGAGAGAGAGAGAGAGAGAGAGAGAGAGAGAGAGAGAGAAAUACGGGGAUUGAACCCAAGGGCACUACCACUAAGAUAAAUCCCAGUUAUAUUUAGGUGGUUUUUGUUUUAAUUAAUUAAUUUAUUUAUUUAUGACAGGGUUUUGCUAAGUUGCCCAAGUGGGCACUUGUGAUCCUCCUGCCUCAGUCUCUCAAGUAGCUGGGAUUACAGAUGUGCCCCACAGCACCUGGAUAGUAUUUAAAUAUUUAAAGGAAGGUUUUUUUCAUAGAUUCAUAAUAUUCAGACAUAAAAAACAAGUGUUUUUUGUUGUUUGUUUGUUUAUUUGGUGCUAAGGAUUAAACUCAGAGCUUUAUACAUGCUAAACACACACUCUACCACUGAGCUACACUCCCAGUUUUUAAAAUUAUAAUACAUUUCAAUUUGUAAUAGAUUACAAUUGAACAUCCAUGUGUGUUAAUCAGUUUUCCAUUGCUGUGACAAAAUACCUGAGAAAAUCUAUUUAAAGGGAGGGAAGUUUUAUUUGGGCUCAUAGUUUCAUCCCAUAAUCAGCCAGCUGGCUCUAUUGCUUCUGGCCUGUGGCGAGGCAGAACAGUAUAGUGGGGAGCACAUGUAGAAUAAAGCUGUUCACCUCAUGGCAGCCAGGAAGCAAAAACAGAGGAGAAGAAACCAAAGUUCCAAUAUCCAUCAAGGGCAUAGCCUCAGUGACCUUGCUUCCUUCCACUAGGGCCCAACUCUUAAAGGUUCCACCAGCUCCAGAUAAUGCCAUCCACUGAGGACCAAGCCCUUAAUUAACCCUUGAGACUUUGGUGAAUGAUUAAGAUCCAAAUCACAGCACCAUGUAUAUAUGGCUUUUGCAUAAUUCUUUAACUGCAUAAUACUAGUGAAGAAAUCUAAAUUGUCACAUAAAAUCAAAAUAUGUUAAGCUCAAAUUUUAUAUUCUAUAAAAAUGUACUUAUCACCACAGAGACAAAUAUAAAAUUACUUCUUUUAUAAUUAAGGGGAAAUGCUAACUUUCUAGUUCCAAUCUCAUUUUAGUUCUUUUUUUUUUGUUUUGGUUUAACAGCAUUUAAUACAAAAAUUUCCAUGUUAAAAAUAUAAUUUUUAGAAGAAUAACACCCAUAAAAUAUGCUAAUUAUUUAAUCAAAGAAAACAGUGUGGUUUGUUCAAAUUUGACUCCCAUAAUUUUGAUUGCUCCAGAACUGGGGCUUACUCUAUGACAAGAUUAAAUUUGGCAAAAAAAAAAAAGUAUUUGUUCUGAGCAUACCAUUCUUAGUAGAUCAUUCAGGAUAUGCUAAGAUUCUGGUACACUAUUUUAAUUCAUCACAAUAUGUUCCUGUCAGUUACAGCUCCCCAAUUGCUUUUGGGGGGAUUCUGUAAAAUAAAGACUGCCUCAAAUAUUAAAAGAAUUUUUAGAAUUAGUCAUAAACUUCAGUAUUCUUUGUCAUCUCUGAAUUUCUACAGUGGAAGAAAUUGGAAAGGUGCCAUUACUCAAAUGUUUUUCUCUCAUAAACAAAGUAAACAUUGGUCUUAUUAGUAUAUAAUUCUUUUCUACGAAAUAUUUGUUCUAAAUAUUUGUUCAUUCCAUCCUGAUAUCAUGUUGAAGGAAGUUUUUCAGUAUCCAUGAGGGUAGUUAUUGUAUGCAAACAAAGGUGACCCUGAGGUCAACUCUUACUUUAAGUAGUUGGUUAUAGUUAGUUUAUGCUAAUUGUUAAUUCUAUUUUUUUUUUAAAUCCAGAAUGAAUACAGGGUGGGACAGUCUCCAUUGGGUUACUGGAAGUCUGUUAUUUCAAGGGUGUUUCCUAAAGGCUCAGGGAAUUGGGAACCAUGGUAAGGAAGAAGAGCCAGGAACCACAGCAAAGGGUGUUACCAAGAGCAGCUAACCAUGUUUUAUAGCCCCUCACUGCCAUUCUUUUUUAAAAAUAUUUUUUAAAGUUGUAGAUGGACGCAAUACCUUUAUUUAUUUAUUUAUUUUUAUGUGAUGCUAAAUAUUGAACCCAGAGCCUUAUGCAUGCUAGGCAAGCGCUCUACCCUUGAGCAACAACUCCAGCCCCUCUCACUCUCAUUCUUGAGGUCUAGAUAGAGCAUUGUCUAAUGUCAAGACCAGCCAAAAUUCCUUGGAAAUUAACACAAUGGGCUUAGAGUGUGUAAUGCCAGACUCUCGUGGGACGCCAAUAAACCUCCAAGAGCCGAAUUCGAUGCAAUCACACAAGAGUCUUUAUUGCAAGCUGGAGGCUGGACUCACAACCGUUUCCAGGGAGUGAGUCCUGGUUCUUUGCUCAGUGAGAUUUUAUAGGUUUUGGGGGGAUAUAUUCUAUGCGUCACAACAUCACACCAGCAAAUCAUUUCACAUCGAGGGAAAGUCAAACAACAACUCUUAACAUUCAUUAGCACAUUCAAUGGCGGGAACAAGUUGGGUAGGGGUGAUUGGUUAGUACAAGAGGGGGAUUCCUUUGAAUUGAUUGAUUUAAGCCAAUAGGGGUGUAUGUGCUUAACUACAUGGUUUCCCAACAUGUUAUCAACUACCAUAAACUACUGGGGGGUCAUCUGGCAUCCCAGGUAUUUUCCCUGUCUCAUGCUGAUUGAUGGUUGCUAGGGGGUUGCUAUGGGUCCUCACCUAGCCUAACUGAGUCAGGGACACCUGGCUCUGCAGAUCUCUCCAGUUAUUUGUAGACAAACAACUCAGCAGGGUGGGUAUGUGCUUAGGAGUGCUCUGUGGGUCUUUCCAAGGACAAGGGUCACACCCCCUUCCUUAGGACAGGCCUUGAGGUAGAAGCUUGUUUCUCAAAAAUGGAGUCACAUCAGUUUCUCAAGUGUAGAGGACAAUUUUCAUAAUUUGCCAAGAACCGCAAGCAGAAAAGAAUGAAGCAGUGUUAUCAUCAUACCUCAUUCUUUGACUUGCCUUACUGAGUGUGUAUAUCUCCAUCCCUCAAAAAGAAGUCAAAAGUAAUGAAUUUUCAUUAAUUAUAGUAAUUUAUAAGGUAAAUUGAUUGUAUUGGUCUGUUGCUAUAUCUGUUUUAUUUCUGUUGCUCUAUCAAAAUAACUAAGGCUGGAUACUUGAUAAAGAAAAGAUGUUAAUUCAGUUCACAUUCUAUGGCUGGAAAGUCUGAACAUCAUGGUAUCAGCAGGAACUAAGUGGGGUCCUGAAACAACUGCAUUAAUCUCCUCAAGGGUGAUGUUCUCAAUGACCUAUUUACCUCCCACUAGGUCACCUCUUCAAGGUCCCACCACCUCCACACUACCACUCUGAGUGCUAAGCCUCUAGCACAUGACCCUUUGAAGGACAAAUCAUAUCCAAAUCAUAGUACUACUUACUGAUGAUGUAAAGCUGACAAGAUCAGGACACGUUCAAAAGUCUUGAUUUAAGGGCUGGGGCUGUAGCCCAGUAGUGCAGUGUUUGCCUAGCAUGUGCAAAGGCCUGGGUCAGAUCCCCAGAACUGCAAGAACAAACAAAACAAAAUGAACAACUGAAAAAUCUAUCUCAUCUGUAGUCCCAGCUACUUGGCAGGCUGAGUGAGGAAGGAGGCUCUGCUUCAGCCCAAGAAUUCAAGGCCAGCUGGGACAGUAUUGUGAGACCUUAGAAAGAAAGAAAGAAAGAAAGAAAGAAAGAAGAGAGAAAGAGAGAGAGAAAGAAAGAGAAAUAUUGGAAAUAUUAACUUGAAGUUGGAGAGUGCCAGGUUAACAAAACUUGGAGAAGAAUUUUUUUAAGCAUCUGUGAAAAGACUCAGAAUAUUUCUCUAAGGGAGAAUAAAAUGUUAGGUCCUAAGAAAUAUCUGCUCCCAUGUGAUCUGUUUCUCUCAUUGGAAUUUUACAUGACUUAUAGCUUCACCUGUUAUCAGGAUCAAUUGUUUCAAAACUAGCUCCCUACUGCGGGCGGGAUGUUGGAGUCACCUCCUCCCUGGUGCAAGAUCCUGGUAGAGCUGUUUACAAGGGAUCCUGAUUAGCUGAUCAAGAAGCAGUGUGAACAGGAGCCUGGACUUCUGGAUUCAUUAACAGAAUGAAUAGGGAUUUAUCAACAGAACUGGGCAUCAAAACACAAUAAAACUAUUUACAUCUAACUUACAUGGCUUUAUGUUUGUUUGCAGUUUUUAAAUUGUGAACUUGAAGAUAACAUUGCUUCUAGACAUGGCAGUUUAUAUCUUCAUACUAACUUGUUGGCUAACACAGCAGGUAAUAUGUACUACCCCUUCUCCACCCACAUCCUGUUGACCUUGCUUUUACGUCAUAUCUUUGAGACCAGAUAGUUCCCAGAGUUGAGUUUAUGGCUAGAGUCAGUGAGAGAGUAUGAAUCUGAAAAGUAACUUAAAAAUAGUAUCAGUAAAUGUGGGAAGCCAUCUGUGAAAUACAGGAGGACCUUCUCUCGCUGUGGAAGCCACGGAAGGAUAGGCCUAACAUUGGGAACUUCCUGUGGCUCUCUCUUUGAAAGGUGAGAGACCAUCCAAUGCAUAUGACCUUCCCCUCUGCUCUGCUAGAAAGAUCCCUCACAGUAGCACCAGAGAUGGGAGUAACCUGUUAGGAACAGCCCACCUGCCCCCACCUUGAUCCUAUUUUGGUGAAGAACAUUCUCUAGAAUUUCUUUGAUGUCUUCCAAUAUAAAUAAAGCAGGGCUCCUUUGUGUUAGAAGCUGGAUCCGUCUGGUCUAGUCCAUUUGCCUGUUCUGCCCCUGCUUUUGAAACUAUUUUCUGUGUUUUUUUCCACCAUUCUAUUUUUCCUAGCUUUUAUUUCUCAGCCAGCCUGUUCCACUGAGGGGAACCCCAUUCCCACCCACUACGUGGGAUGUGGGCGGAAAGUAAACAAAACAGUCACAAUGCUCAGCUUUUCCUUUUAUAACACUCAUAGUGUAAUAAGAAUGUGUUCAUGUAUGCUCCAUAUAUGAGCCCUGUGAUGGGAAUAUGUGAAAUCUCAGGCUGAGUAAGAAGCCUAUUUUGUGGGUUCUGAUAGCAUCCCAACAUGCUCCUUCCUCAGCAAACUAGUCAAAGGACUCUCCUUCCCUACAGGUGACCAGCCAAUUAGUCCUCGACAUGGCCAACAACGCAUUUGAUGAUCAGUAUGAGGGCUGUAUCGAAGCAAUGGAGGAAAAGGCACCCCAGCUGUUAAAAGAAGAGCUAAGCAUGAAUGAAAAAUUUAAGAAUGAAUGGGAAAAUGCUAAGAAAAAAUGGAAGCAAAUAAAGUCCAACAUAAACUAUUCAGAAAAUUUCAAUGAUUUCCAUGGAACUGCUAUAGUGGCCUACACUGGGAAAAUUGCAAAAGAUUUUAACCAAGCUGUAAGAGAAUUCAGACUAAAUUCAAGUGACUUUCAGUACAAGGCCUUCCAUUAUUAUCUGACAAGAGCUCUUCAGCUUCUGAGGACAUCCCAGUGUAACCAAGUUUUUAGAGGCUCUCAUACCAAGUUUUAUUACAGUGGGGCCGGUAGUGUACGAUUUGGGCAAUUCACUUCAUCAUCUUUGAAUAGAAAUGUAGCUGUUUCUCCAAGAUUUCUUGGUGCUGAUGGGACAUUGUUUAUCAUCAGAACCUGUUUGGGUGUUAAUAUCAAAGCAUUCUCUCUCUACCCUCAAGAAGAGGAAGUGUUAAUACCAGGGUAUGAAGUAUAUCAAAAGGUCACAGUAAAACAAACUGGUAAAAAUCACAAUGAAAUUUCCCUCGAAGCUCCCCAAAAACGAAAGAGUAACUUCAAUUGCUUUAAUUCUACUCCAAUUCACAGCAAAUCAGACAUCAAUUUCAACAGUUCAGGUGAGUCUGGGUCUGCAUUGGAGGUGGGGUUUGUGGGGUCAUCAUGAAACAGAAGAGGGUGCUCCCCUGCAGAAACCCCCACAGCAGAGAACAAUGGGCAUCCAGUCCAUUGCUGAAGAGUCUCAGGUUCCUAAAAGGACAGGACUACUGUUUUGGAGUGGAGAACAGAGCUCAGGCUCAUAGACAUGAGGCCAUUUCUAGUCCAGCCAAACUCCAGUUUCCCCUGCUGUGCAGAAAGGUCAGAAAGUCUUGUGGGACACCAGGUAGAAUGAACCAAGGAAUGUACUGGUGUGUCAGGGGCCAGCCAUAUCAAAGCAUCAGAGGAAUUGGGAGGCUUGCUGGUUCCAGACAGAAGGGCGUGGCUGCUGCAGAAUCCAGGCAAGAGAUGAAGGUGCCUGAACUGAGUGAGUGGCUGUGGUGCUGGAGGCGCCUGGGUUCUAGGUCUGUCUAUAAGCUAUCUCUUCCUGGGAGGGAAGACAGUGAGAGGUGGACAAGCUGAGGGGUGCAGUCAGAAAAGAGGAUGGGGGACCUUGAGAUUUCAAGUGUGAAGUGUUAACUGUUAAUCAGGUUCCAGGACAUUUCCACAAAAGUAAUUGGCUAGAUUGAAGAGCAAGAUGGAUAGCACUGGAUUGAGGAGUUGAAGAACUGAAGAUUUUGCACUGAGAACAACUCAGCCCUAGUGUAUAGGGAAUGAGCCUAGGACACUCACAGGACUAAAGAAAGAGAGGCAGAUAGAUUGGGGCACUCAUUGAUGAAAGCGUUGGUGCUGGACAACAGCAAGACCAGAUUGGAUCUGAGCAGUUUCAGUCAGAAAAAGGAGGAUAUAUAUGGAUGAGGACAAAAGUGACUAUCCUGCCAGGUGUGGUGUCACACUCCCGUAAUCUCAGUUACUCAGGAGGCCGAGGCAAGGGGAUUGCAAUUUGGAGACCAGCCUGGGUAAUUUAGCAAGAUACUUUCUCAAGAUAAAAAAUAAAAAGGGCUGGGAUGGAGCUCAGUAGCAGAGCACCCGUAGGUUAAAUUCCCAGUCCUCCACUAAUGCCCUCCCAAAGUGACUUCAUCCUGGAUGUAAUGUACUUGGUUUAUCUUAAGUUAAUAGCAAAGUGUUAGGAACUUCCCUGGAGCCAGGAGCCAGUUGUAAAUUUCCACAAACCGCUCUAAUGACUCUGUCUACAUAUAGUUUGCUGAGAAACUAUGUAAAAAAACUAAGCUUACCUUGGAGCAAUCAUGGCAGUUACAACUCAAGAUGGCUGCAGUCAUGUCAAGUUAAAUCAAUACAAGUGGUCCACAUGGUAGACCACAUGUAGAGGGACAGUGCCUGGAAUGAUGAAGGUAGAGUUGGUAAAAUCAGGAGAUAGGAACCUCAAAGAAGACAUACCAAUAAUGGUUGAAACUGGUUACAAAGAACACCAAGAAAGCUGUCACCACUCCCAGCCUCGAGAUGCAUAAGAAGAGCCACCAUGAGCACUUUCCCCAUCUUUUCCCAAGUGGUCCUGGCUUUUAGAUCUCUAUGCAUUUACACCAAUCAUUUCUUGUGGCCUGCAGUCUCUCUUCUUUGACUACAUAUCAUAUUUGAUCCAAGCUAAGACACCAUCAAUUUCAACAUGGUGAUUGUCUUCCAAGACCUAGUUCCAAUAUCACUUCCAAUAAUAAGCCUUCCUUGAUACUUUCAAGGAAAAUUAAAUCCUACACCAUUCUCUAUGGCAUAGGUUUGGACUCAGACCACCUCAAUGAUAAUCUGGCUCAGCAGCACUAGUUUUAUGACUUCAAGCAAGUUGCCUAAGUAAUCUGUCUCUGAAUUUCCUCAUUUAAUGAUGGGAUACAAAUAACAAACACUUGAGUAGUAUCACUGUGAGAAUGAUAAGAUUUUUAAGAUUUAUUGCUUGGCACAUAGUUUUGCUCAACAAAUACCUCCUUUUUUUUCUCGUGGAGAAUCUUGUCCACAUCUCAGCCAUUUUGCCUCAUAAUGGAGUAUGACUUACCAUUUAUAUGAUAAUCUCUUGCUUAUAGCCUGGAGACUUUGUCCCUCCUAUUUACCUGCAUUCAAGAUCUGCCAUGGGCUUGACUUGAAUCAGGGUUCCAACAUAUAUUGAUGCAGUAAGUUACUUUUUAUUGAGAGGCCAGGGGUCCAACCAGAAGUGGAUCUGGGCUGCAGAGGGACUAAGCAUCCAAGAAAUUUAAACCAAAUUUGCUCUUACAUUCUGGAAAUCCCUUCAAAAACCAAAAAGAUGUCCUUGCAGUUUCUCUCUCCUUGGUAUUUAUUUUUUUUUCUUUUUACCAUUUUUAUUGGUACAUUAUAAUUUACAUAAUAAUGAGAUUCAUUACACCACAUUUGUACAUGUGAGUUACAUAAUUUGUUCACUUUCCUUCCCUGGUACCUCUCCAUUUCCUCCCCUCCUCCCUCCCCCUAAUCACUUUCUCCCUGGUAUUUCUCCUCUCUCCCCCUAAUCACUUUCUCCCUGGUAUUUCUGACUACUUCAGGAAUCCUGGGAAAAUAAGAGGAGAGGCUAGUCAGGUUAAGUGAGUGCCUAGAGCCCACCUUCUAGGGUUUUGACAUGUAGGUGAAGCUCUGAAAGUUAGGAGGCUAUGUCUUGAGAAACUCCACACUGAAACCUUUCCUUCUCUCCCUCCCAUAGGCCCUGUGUUCCUGCUGCUGCUGCUACUGCUGCUUGCUGAGCCAUAGCCCUUGGCCUGAAGUUUCUCUUCCUUGACUACAUAUCAGAUUUGUGAGCAGGAUGUUGGAGGAAGGACAAGGAUCAGAGACUUGACUGGGUUCUCCAAUGUCAGCAGUAUUGGGAAGGGUAGGAUCUUUUUUUGUAGUCCGCUUUAGUGCUUGUGUCCCUCACAGAUAUAUGAGGAAAUUACUAAAUCCCACUAUAAAAGUGAGCAUACGGUCUUCAAAUUUACUGCCUGAGAUAAGUUCCUGGUGUCUUGACACUUUGCUAUGGUUACAAAUCAAUAUUUGCAUGCACCGUCAGCAGUGACAAUCUCUUUAAAAUGCAAUUUGUGAUUAAUGUUAUAAUCUAAAGAAAUAAACCAUUCAUAAUCACACCUUGCUUUUCUGUGACUAGGUUUCUCUAUAGAUUGUAUUAUGCUCAAGAAACUCUCUUAAGGCAUUAGAUCUGAUGCCAGAAUUUUUACAGCUGAGAAAAUUCAUAUUGCAUAUUUUUAUAGAUAUGUUUGUGGGACUGAUUGACUGAGCCAUAAAUAUGAGGGUUGUCCUAGAUAAAUUCCUCUCUCUACACUACUCCGCCAAAAAUGCAUGCAGUUACCAAGCCCUGUCAAUUAACUUUAAUAAUCGUUCUCAAAUCUAUUCCUUGCCUCUUGCCUACUCUGAUCAUCUUUGAGAAAAUGGAAAAGCCUGUUGUGAGGUGUGGAUGGAGCGCAAAAUCUAGGCAAUGUCCUAGCCAAGAGUGGGUCUAGCUAAGAUGCACAGAGCUUCUCUCACUCCUCAUUCCCCACUCUCCAUGCCUGAAAGACUGCACUGCCAUUGCCUACCAGCUACUGAGAUAAACUAUGAAGACAUGGUAAGUAAUUCCAAAUAGUAUAAUGGUGCAAUAAAAUCAAAAUCAUUGGAGAGAAUAAAGAGGUAAGAAAAUACUCAGGCAAACACAGGAACAAGGUAUAUGGCAGGGAUGGCCUUACAAAUCACGGGAGGAAACAUGAGGGUGUGAAUGGAGUUAGGACAGCUAAUUGUCUACAUAAAAAAAAAUGAAAGAAAAGAAAUAAGAAAUUGGAUUGGACCCCUACAUUGCAUAGAAAGCCAUUGUUUUGGACUUAGCUGCUUCAUGAGGCCCAAUAGACCAGAUCAAGCCAGAAUGGAGUCACUUUUGCUGGAUGCCUUAUAAUCAAAAUGAACUUUGAAAGGCACCAGUUUUCUGACAUCUAGGAGAUUCACAGUAACCAGUCAGAAGGCGCCCAAGUUACCUGACCUAGCAUGAUGAGGAACUGUCCACUUUUUUAAUUCUAUAAAGAAAGUACCUUCAAAUAACCAAUAUACUUUUUGUUCCCUAUUUAUGCUUUCUUUAGCUCUUUCCUGCCUGUAAAACCAACCCCCUCUGCUGUUCAGCUGAUUAGGAUAUCUUUUAUUUUUUUGGUACUCGGAGCUUGAACUCAAGGGAUCUCUACCACUGAGCCACAUCCUCAGCCCACUCCUCGCUUUUUUUUUUUUGUACUUUUUUAUAAGACAGAGUCUCACUAAGUUGAGGCUAAGGCCUUGAACUUGUGAUCCUCCUGCUUCAACCUUCCUAGUCUUUGGGAUUACAGGCAUAAGGAUUGUGCCCAGCUCAGAAUAUCCAUUCUCUUUUGUAGAAUGAGAUGUUGCCUGAUUUCAGUAAAAGCUAAUUUGUUUUUUAAACUAAAUCUGUUAUUAUUUUUUCAACAUACCAUCCGUGAAAGUAAUCCUAAGGAAUGUAAAGAUCUAAAUGUUAGAAUAAACCUCCGAAACUCUUAUAAAAAUAUAAAAGAAUAUUGGGCUGGGGCUGGGGCUCAGUGGCAGACCACUUGCCUAGCAUGUGUGAGGUACUGGGUUCCAUCCUUAGCACCGUGUACAAAAAUAAAUAAAAUAAAGGCAUGCUGUCCAUCUACAACUACAAAACAUUUUUUUAAAUAUAUAGAAGAAUAUUUGUUUUAACAUGAGAGCAAAAGGAAAAAAAGAUUUAUUUCCCCUCCAUGCCUAAGAUCCUGGGAUCUUAUUACUUCUGCCAAGAAUGACGUCAUCACUUUUAUAAUAUCUCAUUGAUCAAAGCAAGUCACACAGCCAUCUUCAACUUGAAGAAGGGCUUUCCAGGCACCCGGAAAGAGAAGAGAGGAGGAAAAUUUGUAAUAAAACCCGUUGUUUGGGGAAGUAUAUCUUAAGACCAAAAAACAAAAUAAAGAGAAACACAAAUAAAUUUGACAUAGUAAUAACAAGAUGAAUAGCCAAAAUUUUUUGGGUACUUACUGAGUUAUCGGGCACUUAUUCAAAGCAUUUUACAUAUUUAUUCAUUUAAUCUUCACAAUAACCUCAUGAGGUAAGCUCGACUCUUUCCCAUUUAUACCAUCGAGGCUCUGAGGAGUUAUGUAACUAAUUGUCAAAAUAAACAAAAUAGACAUAAGAAGCAAGGAAAUAGAACCUAAACUAUGGCAGGUCAGGUCAGGGGUGUUGAAGGGCUAGGAGGGGUUAUGCUAAGUAAGCAGCAAAAGCUGGGCUUCCAGAUAAGAUAGAGCUCAUGGGUCUGCACUUCAUUGGUUAAAAGAAAUCCUAUUGUUUUUAAUUCAGGAAGGAGUGCCUAAUUAUCAUUUGGCCUACAGGGGUCAUUAAAAGUUCAUGAUUCUUCAUCAACUUUAGCAGGAAAAAACAGGUGUGAUGAAAAAAAUGUUGGGUUUUAGAUAAGUCCCAGGCGAAUGCUUUCUGUAGGUCAAAACUUCUCUUACACUGUGAGGAAAAUAAGUCAAAAUCAAACACAUAAACUUCUGAAUAACAAAAGACGCCAGAAUCAAAAAGCAAGAAGGAGGCUGGGAAAGGAUCUUUGUGAGAUUUAUAACAUGUAAAGAAUGUCUGCAAAAUAGAAAAAUUAGAAUAAUAUAUGAACAGACAAUUUACCGAAGAGAAAAAUCAACCUUUUUUUUUUUAAUGCCAAUUGCGAUUGAAACACAAAUCAAGGCAACCAUGACAUAUUACUUCAACUCUUCAACUUUAACAUGGGCUACUCGAUCUUAUCAAGCUGUUGCAAUUUAAGCAAAGUCUUCUAGCUUUUGUCAAAUCGAAACUCUUGAGAAUUGACAGACUUUCUGAAAUAUAGGGAUUUAUUGAGGCUUUACAAAUGCUAAACAGAAAAAAAAAAAAAAGACCAGUUCUGGGAAAAGUUCCUAAAACCAUUGGCAAUAGGCCCGGGCAGCAAUUGGAAACAUGUCCACUGGACCUAGAGCUUAGAGUAUCUUUGUAUAAACUCUGAGGAAGGAAAGUCUAAGUAGUUUACAUUGACCUUCAUUGGCUCUGGAAUGCAGGAUAAGGCUAUGGGACAGGAGGAUUGUUCAUAAGUAGAAGCACCUGCUUCUGGAGUAGUUGGGGUUAAACAUCUGGAGGGUUUGUAAAUCAACAGGGUUUGGUGGCCCUGGUGGUCAGCCAUGAAGGGAUUGAAGCUUUCAACAUAAACAGUCUUUUUGGUUCUUUGCCAGCAGCUGUUAACUGAUUACCUACUUUGUCUUAUUUCUUCCCUUUUCUAUUCUCUGGCCCUUGUGAUUAAUCUCAGAAUUUUUCUUUUAUCACUUUUAAUCUGCAUAAGUUUCUGUGUCUCUGUUCUCAUGUUUUCCUUACAUUGUUUAUUUAAUAUCCAGAUGAGAAGGGUUUUUAUUUUUUGCGACUAGGGAGUGAACACAGGAUUUUUUGAGACAGGGUCUCACUAAAUUGCUGAGGUUGACCUACAACUUGUAAUCCUUCUGCCUCAAGCUCCAGAGUUGCUGGGAUAUCAGGUGCUCACCACCAUACCUGGCCAGUAAGAAAGGUUUUGAUGCAUCCUUUAAGUCUGCCACCUAUGAAACAUAUAAACAGUAUUGCAACCUUAGCAAUUAUUUCCACAUCAGUGAGAUAUUUUGUAUGACUUUUGUUCAAUUCAAGAAUGCAAACCGGGCAUGGUGGCACAUGUCUAUAAUUCCAGGGACUUGGGAGGCUGAGGAGGAGGAUCAUAAGUUCAAGGCCAGCCUGGGCACGUUGGGGAGACCCUGUCUCAAAAUAAAAAAUAAAAAGGGCUGGGGAUAUAGCUCAUUGGUAGAGUACCCCUGAGUUCAAUCUGUAGUAUCAAAGAGAGAGAGAGAGAGAGAGAGAGAGAGAGAGAGAGAGAGAGAGAGAAAGAGAGUGUAUAAAGGCACAUUCUGUAUUUCACACAUUGUUGAAAGAGUGGGGUAAGACCAGUAAGACCAGGCAUGGUGGUGCAGCUCUGUAAUCCUACCAACUUGGGAUGCUGAAGAGAAGAAUCCCAAGUUCAAGGUCAGACUCAGCAAUUUAGUGAGACCCUCAACAAUUUAGCAAGACUGUCUCAAAAUAAAAAGGGAUGGGAAUGUAGUGGUAAAGCACCCCUGGGUUCAAUUUCCAGUACCACAAAAAAAGAAAACUGAAAGGUUGGAGAGUGGGGAAGGUUUUUAACAAGUAAUAGAUUAUGAAUUAAAACCUGAGAGUUUAUCUAACUUUUUGUUCCCUGAUCUGGUCCCUGAUUAUCUCAGUUACAUGAACUUUAAAGUCAGAAUGAAAAAAACUCAUGAAUACAUUGGGGCUCAUUCAGUAGGAGGGCUACAGCAAAGUGGAAAAAAUCUUUUUUGUAGGAUUCUGAUGUAAUCACAUUCUUAGCCUUAGGGUUGAUGAAGGCCAGAGGUCAGUGAUAUAUACCAAGUGUUUUAUCUGGUAGUUACAAGGAUAUAAGGUCAGAUACAGAGAUGGGUAGUAAAUGAUUAUUAACAGGAACUAUAGAUAGCCCAAGAUAACUCUGGCUCUCCAUCUGUAACAUUCCAUCUCUCCAGAACCAUGAUAUUCUUGUCAGCCACAGUCCAACAGUCUGCAGGUCCUUCAACAUAACUGAGGCUUCUUCAGAGAACUUCAAUUCACAGCUUUUAGUUAGUGUGACCUUGAAAUCCAAGCCUGUGGCGAUGUCUGACUUCUACUCUAGCCCUUCCAAACAUUGUAUUGAAUUGUAUUUCAAUUCCCUGUAUUGAAUCCCUUUCUGUCUGAGGUGCCUAGAGUGCUUCUGUUUCUUUCAUAGAAUCCUAACUGAUGCAACUGGGCUCCCUGCUUCUGCUCUUGCCCACCAGAGUAGCCCCAUGAACUCAAGACACAAUAUGCAAUUUCUUUGCUCAAAUCUGUGAAUGGCUAAAAGCCAAAGUCCUUCCAAUGCCUUAAAAAGACCACAUCCAAAUUUGGUAUUCCAUAAACAUUCUGAUCUCCUCUUCCACUGCUCUCCAAAUUGCUUGCUCUGCUCCAGCUACGCUGAUCUCCUUAUAAUUCUCUACUGUGCAGGCACUCAUUGGCCUCAAGGCCUUUGUUUUGUGUUCCUGCUCCCUGGCACUUUCCCUAGAUAUCUGACCAACUUACAAAGCUUAUUUCAAGUCUUUACUCAAAGACCCCCUUCUCAGUGAGAUGUCCCAUGUCUGUGUAUGAUUAGAUUACUACCCUCCUGCACACCAUCCCCCUUUCCUGCUCUUCUUUAGCACUUUGCAGUCUAAAACAUCACGCAUACAUUUCUGACCCUAUUGCAUAUUGCCCCCUCCACAUUGUUGAUCCUAUAAGGUUUUUGUCACUAUAGCAUUUACUACCUUCAAUGCUAUAAAUGUCUCCCAGACUCUGGAAUCUGAACUUCACAAGGACAAGGAUGUUUGUAUGCUACUUCAUUGGUAUACCCCAAGCACUCAGAACAGUGCCUGGCAGGUAGUAGGAGCUUAGGAAAUCUUUAUUGAAUAAAGAAAUUGUCUCCAUUCUGUGAAUGAGAAAACUAAGACUUAGAAGAACAUGUUUCUUCAAUGUACCAGCCCCAAAGAGGCAGAUCUGGAGUUACCCUGAGACUGAGAGCUGCAUUAUUUAAAAAAAAUAUAUAUUUUACUAUUUUUAAAAGAUAUUUUAAAUACUUCAAUAUAAUUUUAAAAUAUUUUAUUAAAGCAUGGCCUACAUACAGAAAAGUGCACAAAUCAUAUAUGUUCCACUUGAUGGAUUUUCAGAAAAUGAUCACACCUGUGUAACUAUCACUCUGAAAAAGAAACAGAACAUUACUAGUGAUCCAGAAUCUCCUGGGACCCCCUACUCUGGGGGCAUUAGAAAAGUAACUACUACUCUAACUUUCAAUUAAUUAAGUGUUCAAUUAGUUAGAGAUUAAUUUUGCCUGAUUUAAAACUGUAUAUAAAUGGAGUUGUAUGGAAUAUAUUCUUGUGUUUUGGUUCAUUCACUAAAAAUUACACUUGUGAGACUCAUAUUUUCACAUAUAGCUGUAUUUUAUUCAUUUUUAUUGCUUUAUUAUAUUCCUCUGUGAAUAUGUGAAAAUUUAGUUACCCAUUCUAUUGGUGAUGGGCCUUUUGUUCUUUCUAAACUUUGGCCAUUAGGAAUAAUGUUGUACGUAUAAUGAACAUGUUGUAUAUAUUGCACACAUGUGAACACAUUGUUAUACAUGUCACUCAUUUUUGUUGAGUAUAUACUUAGGAGUAGGAUUGCUGAGGACAUGUUAUUUAUAGAGUUGUCCCUAUGUAUCUCUGGAGGAUUAGUUCUCCCCACCACACCAACAUCUGCAGAUGCUCAAGUCCCUUGCAUGAAAUGAUGUAUAAUGGGUAUAUAACCUAUUCACAACCUCUUGCAUCCUUUAAAUCAUCCCUACAUUACUUAUAAUACUUAAUUCAAUGCAAGAUGGGAACAGUAGUUAUACUGUAUUAUUUAGGGGAUAAUGACAAGAAAAAAAAGUCCAUGUAUGUUCAGUACAGUUGCAGUUUUUUAUGAAUAUUCUCAAUUUGCUUGUUGGUUGAAUCAAUGGAUGUAGACCUUGUUAUAUAAACAGAGGGCCCUAGGCUGAGGAUGCAACUCAGUGGUAGAGUGUCUGCCUGGCAUGCACGAGGCCCUGAGUUUGAUCUCCAGCACCACAAUACAAACCAACAAACAGAAGAAAAGAAAAGAGGGCCCACUGUAUACAUAAUGUUCAAUUUUAGUAGAUCCUGUCAAAUAAUUCUCCAUACCCUCUCUGGACCUCAAUUGAGAAGCAAGUUAUUUAUCCCUGUGUUUAAGAGUAAGAGAUUCAUAACAAGCUAUAAUGGUGGGGUACACGCUCUCACAGUGAUAACACAGGUGGCAAUACUGGAAGCCUUGGCACCUGUGUGAUGAUUAACUUCAUGCUUCGAUAUGAUUGGCCAAGACGAUGCCCAGAGAGCUGGAAAAGCAAUAUUUCUGGGUUUAUCAGUGAGGUAUUUCUUGAAGAGAUUAACAUUGACUCAGUAGAUGGGUAAAGGAGAUCUGUCCUUACCAUUACAGGUGGACACCAAAGGCAAACUCUUCCCCCCUCCUUAAGCUGGGCCAUCCAUCAUUUCCUGUCCUUGGCUGUAGAAGCUAUUGAUUCUCAGGCCUUCAGACUUAGGAACUUAAAUUAACCCCCAUUGUCCUAAAAAAUUUUCUCUCUGGCCCUUAGGCCUUUGACCUCGGGCUGGGAGUUAUACCAUCAGCUUCCCUGUUUUCAGGCCUUUAGAUUCAGACUGAAUUGUACCACCUGCUCUCUCAGGUCUCCAGGCAGAGCAUGGGACUUCUCAGCCUCUACAAUUGGAUGAACUGAUUCCCAUAAUGAAUCUAUGGAUUCUAUUUUCUGGAGAACCCUAGUUAAUAUAACCUGUGAGCCAUUUUUGGGAAGACUUGAUAAGGUGCCUUCCAAUGGAGUUCCAGAGAUGUAUUCCUUUGACAAACACAGGAUCUCCGUCAACAGUUUUUUUUUUUUCCCCAUUACUCUGUCUAUAGAGGUCAGUUGGUAGGUUGCACCUAGAAUAGAAUGUUUUGAUGCACACAUCAUUCAUGCUUUGAAAUGAAACAACAUUAUCUGGCCUACAAAUGCUCUGCCAACGAGUGGCCAUGGAGAGUAACUAGAAAUGGUAUAGACACUUUGCAGCUGGAUCAUUUGGGGAAAGUCCUGAUCUUUCUUUUGUAGUAGAUGCCACGGUAUAAGAGCUAUGAGAUGGGUACCUGGCCAUUCCAGUCCAGUUUCUGUACAACCCUAUCCAAUUUAUCUUUUUUAGAAUUCCAUUUUGAAGUUUCUCUAUCUUCUCUGAUUCUAAGUAAUGUGAGCCGCAAAACAUUUAUGAAUCAAUAAGGCUUUACAACUAUUAAUAGACAAAGGUAAUCCAAGUUUAAAAAUAAAUCUUUAGAAACUCUUGGCCAAAAGACAUAGUAUCAUUUUGGUGCCCUAGAUUCAGUUUCUGGUGAAGGCCUCCUUGCUGGCUUACAGGUAGCCAUCAUUUUGCUGUAUCCUAUAUGGUAGAAGGAGCUCUCCAGGGUCCCUUUUAUAAGGACAUUAAUUCCGUUUGUGAGGGCUCUCCCCUUGUGAUCUAAUCACCUACCAAAGUCCAACUAUCUAAUACCAUCACACUGUGGGUUACAUUUUUAACAUGAAUUUGAGCAAACACAAAUAUUUUGCCUACAGCAAGUAGUGAGAGGAAAUAUUGGGUUUUUUAUUUGUUUAUUUUUAAAACAAUUUUCUAUAGUCUGGAAGUACUCAAAAACAUAGUGAGAACUGAUACAAAUACAAACAGACUUUUGAGAAGUGAGACUACAGAUUCAGAAGAAGCAACGUGUUUGCUACCUGAGUCAAAAAUAAAGAAUUUUUGCUACAUGUGUUAACAGCAGACAGCAUCACCCAAGAUCUUUGUUUUUUAAGUCAUUAACUUUAAUGUACCUUGUAUCAAAACCUCAUGCUCAAUACACAAAAGAAUGUCUAUCAAACACAUUCUCUCAGCCUCACUGACCAUUCCAGAUACUGCAGAAGUGAAAGGUCCACCCUGGUUCCUGUGGAUGCCCUUCUCUUCAGGGGCUUCCUGCCUCUAGUCAUCCCUAAUACAGAGACAUGAGGAGACUCCACUUUGCAAUUACACCUGUGCAAUCCAGGAAUGUGGGGAAGACAAAGUUCCAAGAGGAACUCCUCUCAACCAGUGGAGGACAGGAGUCAAGGAUAAGUAAUUCUUGUUUGCCCCCCAGACAGAUGGUUCUGAGUCUCAAUUCAGAAGGCCACCACAGUGCCCAGUGGCAAUAUGUUUAAAUGAAAAUAUCUAGUUUUUAAAAAUAUCAUGGAUAAGAUCAAGCACAUUACAAAGUCACAUUAUGGAUGCAUCAAUUAAUUUAUCCUCCUAAUUUGAAUGUUUUGAAGACCAAAUGUGCCGAUACAUAGAAAAUGAUACAUAGGGUAGAGAAUUUUGGUUAACAUAUUCCUUAUUUUCUCUGCAUUUUAAUUUCUUUAAAAGUCUCAAAAUAAUAGUAGUAACUUAUUAACUUAAAAUUUUACCAUUUAUGGUUCAGAAUCAUUGACAGAUCUUAGAAAAUAUACUAAUAUAUUUUCUUAUAUCUUAUAAUCAACCAAUCUCUGUUGAUUAUAAGAGUUUAUAGAAGAAAUAUGGUAAUAAAACAUUAUCCAUUUAAGUAGAGUAACUGUAGAUGUUCAUAAUUUUUAAUAUUAUACAAGUUCCAAAAGUAUAAGAACUAGUUUAUAAAAUACUGGUGUUUAAAAUAAUCAACUAGCUGAAUACUCAUGUUUACAUUGACAUAUUCUUGAAUAUUAGUGCAAGUAAUAAUAAUUGGAAAAUUUAGAAAUUCUACCUUGUUUAUCUUUUCCAAAGAUUAAAAAUUAAAUUCAAAGUCUUUCAGAAAUUAAAUACCACAUUUGCAUUUUUACUUAUGUAAAAUCAUCUUUUAGUCAUCUUUUAACUAAAAUUCAAGGUAUAGUUUAUUUUAUCAAAGGGUUUGCCUUGAUAAAUAAUAUAAGAGCACAUAAGUUAACAUUUAAUUUCUAUUUAUUUACUUUUCCCUGCUGCAUCCUUUGUUUAGAGCCCCACCUGUAAAACCCCUAAUUGUAAGGCCAUUGUUGCAAGAGACACUGUGACAAGAUGGAGGCGGAACUCCAUUUGAUAAAGGUUGUACAGUAGCCAGAUUUGAUGGCUUUUACUUCCUUUUUUUCUCUUUCCUCCCCAGUUCCAAAUCACAGCAAAUUCUGAAAGAGCAGCUAAUUUCAAAGGUAAUCUGCUUUACCCAGCCCCACUCUUGCUCAGGGGGCUUCUGUUACACUUAUUUGAAACAAAUCCCUCAACUGAAAAGGAUCACAUGAAAUACACAUUGGCUUCUAGAACACAGUCUUCCCCCUGAAUGUGCUCAUUCUCAGGGGCACACGCUGAAGUAGAAUUCUUGGAAGCUUCUUGGUCAAACAAAACCGACAUCCUUAGGACAAACAGUGUCCAAGUUCUAAGGGAAGAAUUGCUUGAGCUGAAACAGUAGGUACUCCCAGUAGGCCCACACCACAGAAUGGGGCCACAAAAGUCCUUGUCCUGUGCCAUUGGGAAAGCUGAACUAAUUAAAAUACCAGAGACAGACUCAGCAGAAGCCAUCAUUUCUCUCUUAGAAUUAAGACAACUAAAUACUUCCAGGUAUUUCCCUAGAAAAUGAAAGAGAGAGAGAGGGCGGGGGGGAGAAGUAUUUGGGGGAUAGGCUGGUUGAGGUGGCUGUGUGCAGGAGAGGGUAGCAGAGGUCCUAAUCACAGAGAAGUUUUGAGUACAGGUUAGAAAAUACUCUGGUGUUCUUUUGAGCCAGCAGACUAAAGUGUCCAACCCUUCCCUGAAGGCUGACACUUAGCAGCUCCUCCAGGAUGUGUGGCUGCUGAGUUUGCUCAUUAGCAUUUCAUAGUCUGCAGUAAGCAAGUGCAGCCACCAGGGGGCAAGAUGCACCUUUAACCCUGGCCUUACUGAAUACCAGAGGGUCCUGGUCUGGUCCUUGAAGGUGCAUCUGGAACUUCACAUCUCAGGUCAGUACCUUGUUUCCCUUGACUUGUGAAAGAGGUGGAUCAUUAAGAUAAAAUAAGGGGAAGACACCCUGGAAGAGACUAAAACUAAGAAGCUGAAGAACAAUGUCAGUGUUCUGUGUACGUGUUGUCAUUCACCCAUAGAGUCUCCACGUACUUUAACAAGGACCAAAUGACUUUAGAAAAAGGAAACUGGAAAGGAAAUGAGGAAACGUGGGGAUUCUCAACAGAAUUCAUUGUGCUGACUCUUUUUGUGUUCAUUAAUUUAUACCUGGGUCAGGGCGUCCUGUGCCAGACCCGCCAAAGGAAAUCCCACAAUCCUCAACUUCGGGGAAGCACCUGUGUCAAAGUUACACUCAGGCCAAUUAACAGCAUGGUUCAAGGGCUUCCUUAUAUUUAUUUUAUUGAGUGUAGUUGGUAUGCUAUACCUGUGGGUUUUACAUCUGUGGAUUCAACCAGCAGCAGUUAAAAAUUCUGGGAGAAAAGAAACGAAAGGAAAGGAGGAAGGGAGAGAGGGAGAGACAGAGAUAGAAAGCAUGUGCACAUAAAAUACGAAAAAAAAUUAUGUCUGAACUGAAAGUGCACAGAUAUUUUCUAGUCAUUAUUCCCUAAAUAAUACAAUGUAACACUAUACAUAGCAUUUACAUUGUAUUAUUAUAAGCAAUCUAAAGAUGAUAAACAGUAUACAGUCAGGUAUAAUGGCACAUGCCUUAAUCCCAGAGAUUCAGGUGUCUGAAGCAGGAAGAUGGCAAGUUCAAGGCCAGUCCCAGCAAUUUAGGAGCUCUAAGCAACUUUGCAAGACCCUGUCUCAAAAUAAAAGAAUAAAAAGGACUGGGGUGAAGCAAGCCAGAGACCCCCACCCAGAAGACCCUUGCCAUAAUUAAGCUUCUCCUCUUGUCAGAUCAGCAGGGUGUCUGCAAAGCUUACUGUGGUUGAAGUUUCCUCUUUCUUGAAAAUGCCAGGUUUGCACACAAAAGGUGUGAGUUAGUCUGCAAGCUUGUUGUAAGCAAAGAUAUUAUCUCUAUUUUCUUGGUAAAAACUUGUGUUGGUCUAGAGGAUGGAAGAGAGAGCACUUGUUAUGUAAAACCUCCAAGGCCCUCCUCCCACUGGAUAUAAAGUUCAAAGAAUUUCCAAAAUCUUUGUUCAGAGAAAGAAUUCUUAGGCGAGAGCCACCUCUGAACCCUGCAGUCAAUAAACUGCUUCUUGAAAAUUCCUCAGGUGUCCAGCCUCUCCUGGCCUACUUCAGGGGGUCUGUCUGGGGUUGUAGCUUAGUGGUAGAGUGCUUGUCUAGCACAUGUUACUGAGUUCAAUCCUCAGCACCACCUAAAAAUAAAUAAAAUAAAGGUAUUGUGUCCAUCUAUAACUAAAAAUAUUUCUUUAAAAAAGGGGGGCUGGGGAUGUGGCUCUGGGUUCAAUCCCCAGUACCCCACCACCACCACAAAAUAAAAGUAUACAGCAAGAUUCAUAGGCUAGUGAAAAUGCUGCUCCAUUUUAUAGAAGGGACUUGAGCAUUUUGGGGGUCAGAGGUGGGUUCUGGAACAAUUCCCCUGCAGAUACCAAGGCAUGACUAUAAUAGAAUCCUCCAAACCUUGAUUAGAAGUCUCAGUAUUGAAGGGUUUUUUAAAAUCUUCCUAACUGCCAAUUUUGACCUAAUGUGAAUUGCACAUUAUUGGGACUGAUCUUCAUAUUUAUUUUGUAACUCAGCAGGAACGUUGAAGCUAUUAAACCAGAACUUAGGUUUUUUUUUUUUUUCCAUCUAAAAAUGUUUAGAAAAAAGGGCUUAGAUUUGAAAACAAGAAUAGUGUUUAAAUUUGUAUUAACAACUUAGUUUAUUUCUCAAGGUUAUUUACACAUUCACCAUUCUAUUUUAUUCUUAAAAGAAUAUAAAGUUUACCUUUUACCCAAAGGCUUUAAUACUCAAUUGAGUAGUUUCAUUUUUUUAUCACUUGGAAGUUUUAGUAGAAACUGUUUAAAAAACUCAUCCUUUUGAAACUAAUUUCUUUAAUCUUUUUAAAUGUCUUAACAUAAAUUAUAGAAUGCCAUUUACAGGCCAAGUUUCUUUGUAAACUCAAUGUUCUGCUAUUUGGAAGGUUUUCUUUUAUUGUUCUCUCACCCUGGAGGCCUUUUUAUAAAGUGCUGGCACAUUUGAAGCAUUGGAGGUGUGGCUUGGUUUCUUAAUUUUUCCCACAGGGAGACAUUGAGUCCCUUUAUCUUAGAUUUAUAUAAGCUCUCAGUGGUAUCUUGUAAGCAAUAUAAAUAGAAAUUUUACAGGGGUUGGUUGACAUGAUAGUUGUAUUUUCUGCAAAUCUACAGAGUAGGCCUAAUUAAUUCCAAGCUGUCUCUGAUAUCAAACUCAUUUCUUUGUCGGCAGGAUAUACAGACCAGCCCUGCAGAGCAAGCAAGCUGAAAUAUCUACUGUUUCCAAAAUCUCCUAGAAUUCCCCACCCCCAUCCUCUCCGUUCAUACCAACUCAAACCAAUGCAUCUGGACCUUUGCACAGGGCUGGGAGUCUCUCACUCAACAACAGAAGAAAUUAUUACACGACUGCAAAAUUGGAAGAUCAAACAGGAGAAUUUUUCCCUUAAGAAAAAGAAAGAAGAAAUCUUGCAGACGUCCAGAAAAAGUCACUCAAGCUUCCAGGAAGCAACAUACACAUAUUUAUCCUCUAGGGGGCAGGAGUUCUCUGUUUCUGGUGGAAAACACUUCACUGGUCCGGAGUUUUGCCUCUUGGAACUGCUAGGGAAACUUCACUUAGCUGGGUCUUAAUUUGAACAGAAAGAAAACAUUCCAGCUUCGAAUUAGAGAAAAGUCUAACCCAGAAACUAGAAGUACUCAUUCCAGAAGACAGAGGCACAAAGCUCUUUCAAUCUGCUCUGACUGCUGGUGAGCUCACAGAUGCAGCUCCACAUGUGUGCUCUCAAGAAUGCCUGGCAAAAGCCACAAGAUACAACCAUCCACGACAGCAGGAAGCAGCAUGGCAGGUUUUUGCUUCGGAUGCCCUGUUGAUGAUCUAGCCAGCUGUUCCUUGAUGCCCUUUUCUGAGCUGGUUAGAAACAUCCCAGAGAUAAGCAAGACCCAAAUAAAUUGUCUGUCACUGCCUGGGUUCUCUUUCAAAAACAGUGCCAAACACAAGGAGCUGCCUUCAGAAAACUCGUUUGGGAGAUGAUUGCAGGGUGCAAGAGUGAGGAACUUGUACUGUGCCAGCCAUUCCUGUCUGCUGGGGACUGGGGAGUUUGCUAAGAUUUGAGACUUUCACUGCUAAAAUUGGAGAAGUCUCAAAUAAAUGAGGGAUGAGUUGGUUGUGCAGGAACUGGGUGCUGUACUCAAAGGAGGUAAGCUGGGCAAGGCUGGGCUCAUGUGUUAUUAGAUCCCACAGCAUAGAGGGCACCUCAGAAUUGUAUGCCCGCAGGAUGGACGUGGGGAGAUUUGUCCACUGGUUUCCAUUCUCCAUUAGUCAGUUUUGCUCCUUGGGGGCGUUCAUUCUGCCCACACUCAGGGUUCCUGUGCCUGAGUGCCUGUGAACUCCCACAGGCAUUUCCCACUGAGGCUUCAGAGAAGCCCUGGGUGGAAAGUGAGAGAAACACAAUACAACUGAGGAAUAGCAUUGUGACACCUACACAAACCCGAUUGCUGCAGCAAUGGCAUUUGGACUGAUGGGGUGAAGUGGGCCCAAGAAGCGUCCUAUGCAUGAAGGUUAAUUUCACCUUCUUUUGGUUGGCUUAUCGUUGAGCUCAGUAUGGGAUCAUCAACCUCUGCUCUUAGCUUCCAGUUAAUUUAAAUGAAAUAAAGUUCUCAGAUUUUUUAUUUAAAUAAGAAAUCCAGCAAUGUAGUUUCAUUUCUCCUUGUGUAUAUGGAGGAAGGUGC